Molecule: long non-coding RNA, 1725 nt
Organism: Brassica napus (rape)
Lineage: Eukaryota; Viridiplantae; Streptophyta; Magnoliopsida; Brassicales; Brassicaceae
Exons: 4
Source: RefSeq, a predicted model, not a curated record
GUUUGACCAACAAAAAAAAAUCAAUUUAAACUAAAUUAUUUUUCUUUGUUUGUUAUCUAAUUUUUAUUACAUUUGAAAUCAUAUAUUUGUUUAACCAUUAAAAAUGUGUUAAAUGUAAUGUUUCACUGUAUUGUAAUUGUUAAUUGUCAUUGUUAGUUCUGCUUUGACUUUGAAAAUAAGUGGAAUGCAUUUUAAUACUUUUUAGGACUUUGGCAAUCUAUACUAUACUAAAAGGAGAAUAAGAUCACCAUUUAGCCUGUCCACGUAGGAUCAGAAAUUCAAGCCAAUCAAAUUGUCUUAAGAUGCCAUGUCAGAUUAGUAAAAAAAAAAACAACUUUACGAUGGCUAAUCCUUCUUUUCUCCUGCGCCUUUCCAAUGUCUCUAUCCAGCUUCUCAGUUCCAAGUUUUCUCCAUUAAUUUGUCCAACUUUCUGUAAACAAGUGGAUCUCUUAAAAAUAUCCCUCAUUCGAGAUUGAGGUGUAACCUGAGCUCCAAAAAGAGUUGUUUCAUCUUCUUCCUUAUCCAUCCGCAGAGAUACCGGUUACAGAUUAACCCUCUUCAAUUAUUUCUUAAAUACAUACCCCAUGAUCUCUUACUCCACUGUUCUUGAAGGCAUGCCGUUGUAACUUCCUAAAAGAUGAAGAUUUCAUUAGCCAACCUCAGUCCUUCAAGCUUUAUGGAGAUUGAAAGGGUACUUAAAUAUUUACAAGGGAAAUAAGCGACGCAUGUUUCAGAAAAUAGUGAGAAGAAGAUUAUAGAGGAGUAAGGAUACAAAAAAACAUUGUUUCAGAGUGUGUAUCAAAGAAUCUGCAGGCUUUCGGAGUUUGAGAGAUUUCGUAUCAGCUUUGUUUGAUUGUAAACUCAAUGCAGAUUGAUGAUUGUAUCAGGAACAUUAACAAGCCAUGGAUGAAGAAGAUAAAUCUUUCAGAUUCAUAGUGACACCAAUAACUGCUGUGAAAGCCACCCACCAAAAGCCUUUACUCCGCAAGAAGGUUUGCUUGCUUUUCUCCUAUGUUAUCAUCCAGAAAACAGAGCAAAGCUUAAACUUACCAAGCAGAGAAGGAAGAGAUGGGUCAGAUGAAAUGGUCGUGAGUAUGAUCUAAAGACAUGUGUAGACUUUUACAUAUUGAGUCACGACAUUCCCGAUUCUGAUGAACAAACGUCUUAUCUUAUACUCAUGUGACUGAUACUACAUAGGAAGAUGAUCCCAUGGAUCUGUAGCUGGGGUGAUGGUGUAAGUUGUUCUCUAUGACAUGAGUCAUUGUCAAUGGUGGUGACUGAAAUGUAUCAAAUAGUUGCAGGUGGUCAAGAAGCUAACCAGGGGCAGUUAUGGUCCAAGGGAAUGUAGGAAACAGCAACUGCAAAUUACAAAGUUGUAACCUGGUGAUGACUAAACCUUCCACAGUAGGCACGGUUGAGGAAGAGUCGGUGACGGCGAAGUAAUACACACAGACGAUUAGCAUGGAGACAGAAUGAGAUAGAUGAGAAGAGAGGGACAACACAGGAGAAGCUGCGGAGAUGCUGGAGAGUCAUGAAAAUUGAGGCUACGGCUCUCAUCUCAGAAGAGUCGCAGAAUAUAGCGGAGUUUGUGAGUGGCCUACACAUCAAUUUCAAUUUCUAGAAUAACCACAAUUUGUAACAAGAAUAGUUCACAGUUUAAUAGUUUACUAUAUCUGGUUCAACUUGACAGAUUAUCUAUCUUACCAAAGGAUAGCCAGUUUAAUA